GGCAGACGGGUGAGUAACGCGUGGGAAUCUACCCAUCUCUACGGAAUAACGCAUGGAAACGUGUGCUAAUACCGUAUACGUCCUUCGGGAGAAAGAUUUAUCGGAGAUGGAUGAGCCCGCGUUGGAUUAGCUAGUUAGUGGGGUAAAGGCCUACCAAGGCGACGAUCCAUAGCUGGUCUGAGAGGAUGAUCAGCCACACUGGGACUGAGACACGGCCCAGACUCCUACGGGAGGCAGCAGUGGGGAAUAUUGGACAAUGGGCGCAAGCCUGAUCCAGCCAUGCCGCGUGAGUGAUGAAGGCCCUAGGGUUGUAAAGCUCUUUCACCGGUGAAGAUAAUGACGGUAACCGGAGAAGAAGCCCCGGCUAACUUCGUGCCAGCAGCCGCGGUCGAACGCUGGCGGCAAGCGUUCGUUC
Molecule: ribosomal RNA, 415 nt
Filed under: uncultured Ehrlichia sp.
Lineage: Bacteria; Pseudomonadati; Pseudomonadota; Alphaproteobacteria; Rickettsiales; Anaplasmataceae
Description: bacterial SSU rRNA
Rfam family: Bacterial small subunit ribosomal RNA
Source: RNAcentral